CCUACGGGAGGCAGCAGUGAGGAAUAUUGGUCAAUGGGCGGAAGCCUGAACCAGCCAAGUCGCGUGAGGGAAUAAGGCCCUACGGGUCGUAAACCCCUUUUGCCGGGGAGCAAGGGCGGGGACGUGUCCCGGCCCGGAGAGUACCCGGAGAAAAAGCAUCGGCUAACUCCGUGCCAGCAGCCGCGGUAAUACGGAGGAUGCGAGCGUUAUCCGGAUUUAUUGGGUUUAAAGGGUGCGUAGGCGGGCUUUUAAGUCAAGGGUGAAAUCCCCGCGCCCAACGUGGGAACUGCCUUUGAGACUGGCAAACUGGAGUGUGUGAGAGGAUAGUGGAAUUCCAGGUGUAGGAGUGAAAUGCGUAGAUAUCUGGAGGAACAUCAGUGGCGAAGGCGACUGUCUGGCACAAAACUGACGCUGAGGAGCGAAAGCGUGGGUAGCAAACAGGAUUAGAUACCCGAGUAGUC
This 461-nucleotide ribosomal RNA is filed under the name uncultured bacterium. RNAcentral's name for it is "partial 16S ribosomal RNA". It matches the Rfam family "Bacterial small subunit ribosomal RNA", at positions 338 to 795 of the family's 1533-position model. The record is from RNAcentral.